RNAcentral lists this non-coding RNA (107 nucleotides) under Metabacillus indicus. RNAcentral's name for it is "Bacillus cibi SAM-I sequence". It matches the Rfam family "SAM riboswitch aptamer (S box leader)". From Rfam's summary of the family: The SAM riboswitch is found upstream of a number of genes which code for proteins involved in methionine or cysteine biosynthesis in Gram-positive bacteria. The SAM riboswitch acts at the level of transcription termination control. The record is from Rfam by way of RNAcentral. Lineage: Bacteria; Bacillati; Bacillota; Bacilli; Caryophanales; Bacillaceae.
UUCUUAUCAAGAGAGGUGGAGGGAUAUGGCCCUUUGAAGCCUCGGCAACGGAUCUGACAGCAGAAACCGUGCCAAUUCCAGCAAACAGUUUGUUUGAGAGAUGAGAG